Molecule: ribosomal RNA, 376 nt
Filed under: uncultured organism
Description: bacterial LSU rRNA
Rfam family: Bacterial large subunit ribosomal RNA
Source: RNAcentral
GUACCUGAAUGAUUGGACUUUAUUUGCGCAGUAUAGGUGGGAGGCGUUGAGAAUAUUCUUGCGGGAAUAUUGGAGUCAUCAGUGAGAUACCACUCUUGUAAUGUUAGAUUUCUAACUUUGUAUCAUUAUCUGGUCAAAGGACAGUUUCAGGCGGGCAGUUUGACUGGGGCGGUCGCCUCCCAAACGGUAACGGAGGCGCACAAAGGUUUCCUCUGAACGUGUAGAAAUCGUAUCUAGAGUGUAAAGGCAUAAGGAAGCUUGACUGUGAGACCUACAAGUCGAGCAGGGACGAAAGUCGGUCUUAGUGAUCUGACGGUGCUGAGUGGAAAGGCCGUCACUCAACGGAUAAAAGUUACUCUAGGGAAACCAGGCUGAA